AGAGUUUGAUCAUGGCUCAGGAUGAACGCUAGCGGCAGGCUUAAUACAUGCAAGUCGAGGGGCAACAGGGGUAGCAAUACCUGCUGGCGACCGGCAAACGGGUGCGGAACACGUACAGAACCUUCCUUUAAGUGGGGGAUAGCCCAGAGAAAUUUGGAUUAAUACCCCGUAAUAUCAUGAGAUGGCAUCAUUUUAUGAUUAUAGAUUUAUCGCUUAGAGAUGGCUGUGCGGCUGAUUAGGUAGUUGGCGGGGUAAAGGCCCACCAAGCCUUCGAUCAGUAACUGGUGUGAGAGCACGACCAGUCACACGGGCACUGAGACACGGGCCCGACUCCUACGGGAGGCAGCAGUAAGGAAUAUUGGUCAAUGGACGGAAGUCUGAACCAGCCAUGCCGCGUGAAGGAUGACGGUCCUCUGGAUUGUAAACUUCUUUUAUGUGGGAAGAAACCCGGGAAUUCUUUUCCGGUUGACGGUACCAUAGGAAUAAGCACCGGCUAACUCCGUGCCAGCAGCCGCGGUAAUACGGAGGGUGCGAGCGUUAUCCGGAUUCACUGGGUUUAAAGGGUGCGUAGGUGGGUCUGUAAGUCAGUGGUGAAAUCUCCGGGCUUAACCUGGAAACUGCCAUUGAUACUAUAGGUCUUGAAUUUUCUGGAGGUAAGCGGAAUAUGUCAUGUAGCGGUGAAAUGCUUAGAUAUGACAUAGAACACCAAUUGCGAAGGCAGCUUGCUACAGGGAUAUUGACACUGAGGCACGAAAGCGUGGGGAUCAAACAGGAUUAGAUACCCUAGUAGUCC
This 793-nucleotide ribosomal RNA is filed under the name uncultured bacterium. RNAcentral's name for it is "bacterial SSU rRNA". It matches the Rfam family "Bacterial small subunit ribosomal RNA", at positions 8 to 796 of the family's 1533-position model. The record is from RNAcentral.